GAUGAGCACCUUGAAAGGCUGAAAAAUGUGCAAUUUGUUCUUGGAAAAGAUAUCUUGAUUUGUGAUUUGAACAAAUAUUUAUCUUGCACAUUUGAUCCUGGUCUUUUAGUGUUUAUUUUGAGUAUACAGGAAAGACAGGUUCAGCCUCUAAGAAUUGAAAGCAUUGACCGUGCCCAACAGCCUGAGUUUUGGAGAAGCUUUGUUGAAACCGGCUACCUUGAUGCCAGCGACAGAGGUUCAGUCCAAGAACGAUAUCGCAACAGUACGAAGGUCUUUUGUCUUGAAUCCAAUUUUAAAAGAAAUCCAACUCAUCAAGGAUUCACUGAGGCUUGGAAUCGCAUGAAAAUCGUCACGGAUGAAGAAGUUAUGAAUUUACCAAACCGGAGGUUCUUCAGUCCAUCUAUCCGCGAGUACCAGAUUUCUAAAGGAGAUUCAUGCCCCAUAAAGAAUCGGCCUGAGCCAAAACCGAUCCUCCUUGAACCAAAGGUGUUUCCUCAGUCAUUCUCCUGUCUAAACCAAAAGCACUUUAAGGAUCAUGAGUUGAUUGCCUCUACUCUUCAUGAAAAUGUUUUGAAACCGAGAAUUUCAAAAAGAAAACAUAUUCUUACUUGGUUGAAAAACGUUUUGCUCAAACCUUUUCAUGAAUUGAUUUCAUUGAGCUGUGCUUUGAAAGAGAUUUGGUGUAGGAAAAAGCAUGAACUAAAAUUUCUUAGGCCAAAGAAUUCUUUUGAUUUCGUUCAUGAUGAUAAUUUUUCAAAUUUGGCAUUGUCUCUUUCUUUUCCUGACCGUUUAUCAGCUUGGCCUAAUUUUAAAAUUGAUAAACCAAUUUUUGGUGAUCAGCUUACUUGUUUGAUGCUUGCCCACGUGCUUGAUGAUUAUCCUAAGGGCUUGGAUCCUGAUCUUGAUGUCCU
This 911-nucleotide long non-coding RNA is filed under the name Brassica rapa (field mustard). Its description in RNAcentral is "long non-coding RNA (BRAP_LNC008210)". The record is from RNAcentral. Lineage: Eukaryota; Viridiplantae; Streptophyta; Magnoliopsida; Brassicales; Brassicaceae.